GGCUCCCGCACCCCUAGAGGCGCCCACGGCUCGCUCCGCCCUCUCGGAUAACGGGGCAGGCCGGUGGCCCACGCAGCCCACCAGCUUGCAGGGAGGGCAGACCCUGGGGGAUGUGAGGGAGGCUUUCUCACGCAGACCCUAAAACGGUGAGCGCCAGGGAGCCCCGCCUGCUUGUCCCCUCCCCAGAUCCCUCGGGCUCUGGAGACCUUGCGGGCCCCCUGUCCGUGACCACCUGAAACAGGUCCUGGAGCUGCUACUGCUGGCUUAGGCUGGUUGGUGGAAAGGAUCCAGGGCUGUUGUGAAGGCCUUGGGGAGUCCAGAAGCCGCCUGGCACCUUCUGGGUCCAGACGCUGCCCUUCAGCCCUGCCAUUUCAGCCAGCCUCAGCGUCGCUGUAGAGGCAGGCCGCCCUUUCUGCCACUGUCUGGCUGGGCUGGGCCGUGGGAGUGCUGGCCAACGUGCCAGGCAGGGAGGACCUGAAUUCCUGAAGGUGGUGGUGGCAGCUGUUAGGGUCCACAGGUUAAUGAUCUCCAACGUCACACAGAAGAGAAUGUGCUGAGGUGUGACCUCCCUCACCCUGCCUUGGCUGCGUGGGGCACCGUCUCUCCAGGACUCACCCUGCCCCCCAAUAGACUGAAGUCUGAAGAUCAGCCCAGUCUUCCUUCAGGCCUCAAUGCCCUCUCACUUCCCCAGCCCGAGGGACUCCUGGCUCUUCUCGGAGGCUGCUCUGUGGGGUCCCUCCCUUGGGCCUUUGCUAAUGCUGUGCCCUCUGCCUGUGCCAGAGGUGGGCCUGGGCCCGUUUCUCAGGGAGCUCCUGAACACCAAGAAAUUGAAUUGCUUUGUAAAUAAACAAAAAGUGCCAAACAAGCCUGCCUGUCACUUGGGAGAUGGCCCGUCUCUGCCCCACCAAAUUUGCUAAUCAAACAAAUAACCUAAAAUAGAAUAGAAAGAACUCAUCUAGACUUUUCUUGUACCUCUGCUCCCCAAACAGCUUCUCUUUUCAGGUCUCCGGAGCAGCCCUGUUCUCUCUAGCCCAGGCCUCUGUCAAAAAUUCAGCCUGACCUUAAUUAAUUAAUUAUUAUUAUUUUUAAUUAAAAAAUUUUUAAAUAUAAAAAAAAAAAAA
RNAcentral lists this long non-coding RNA (1121 nucleotides) under Homo sapiens (human). RNAcentral describes it as "uncharacterized LOC100505942 (LOC100505942)". Lineage: Eukaryota; Metazoa; Chordata; Mammalia; Primates; Hominidae. The record is from RNAcentral.